This 390-nucleotide ribosomal RNA is filed under the name uncultured eukaryote. Its description in RNAcentral is "bacterial SSU rRNA". It matches the Rfam family "Eukaryotic small subunit ribosomal RNA", at positions 592 to 984 of the family's 1831-position model. The record is from RNAcentral.
CAAUAGCGUAUAUUAAAGUUGUUGCAGUUAAAAGCUCGUAGUUGGAUUUCUGGCAGGAGCGACCGGUCGCACGCUAUGCGUGUGAACUUGUGUUGUCUCUGGCCAUCCUUGGGGAGAUCCCGUUUGGCAUUAAGUUGUCGGGCGGGGGAUACCCAUCGUUUACUGUGAAAAAUUAGAGUGCUCAAAGCAGACGAUUCGUCUGAAUAGCCGUGCAUGGAAUAAUGGAAUAGGACCUCGGUUCUAUUUUGUUGGUUUUCGGAAGUCGAGGUAAUGAUUAAGAGGGACAGACGGGGGCAUUCGUACUGGGGCCCCAGAGGUGAAAUUCUUUAACUGGCUCAUGACGAACCACUGCGAAAGCAUUUGCCAAGAAUGUUUUCAUUAAUCAAGAAC